AAUGAACGCUGGCGGCGCGCCUAAUACAUGCAAGUCGAGCGAGAAGACGUAGCAAUACGUUUGUAAAGCGGCGAACGGGUGAGGAAUACAUGGGUAACCUACCCUCGAGUGGGGAAUAACUAGCCGAAAGGUUAGCUAAUACCGCGUACGCUUCUUGGACUUCGGUUCAGGGAGGAAAGCGAUGCCGAGGGUAUCGCGCUCUUGGAUGGGCUCAUGUCCUAUCAGCUUGUUGGGAGGUAACGGCUCACCAAGGCUUCGACGGGUAGCUGGUCUGAGAGGACGAUCAGCCACACUGGCACUGCGACACGGGCCAGACUCCUACGGGAGGCAGCAGUAAGGAAUAUUGCGCAAUGGGCGAAAGCCUGACGCAGCGACGCCGCGUGGGGGAGUNAA
This 393-nucleotide ribosomal RNA is filed under the name uncultured bacterium. RNAcentral's name for it is "bacterial SSU rRNA". It matches the Rfam family "Bacterial small subunit ribosomal RNA", at positions 29 to 413 of the family's 1533-position model. The record is from RNAcentral.